RNAcentral lists this ribosomal RNA (468 nucleotides) under uncultured bacterium. RNAcentral's name for it is "partial 16S ribosomal RNA". It matches the Rfam family "Bacterial small subunit ribosomal RNA", at positions 28 to 507 of the family's 1533-position model. The record is from RNAcentral.
GACGAACGCUGGCGGCGUGCUUAACACAUGCAAGUCGAACGGAAAGGCCCGGCUUUUGUGGGGUGCUCGAGUUGCGAACGGGUGAGUAACACGUGAGUAACCUGCCCCUGACUGUGGGGUGACUUCAUGAAACUGGGGCUAAUACCGGAUAGGAGCUCCUGCUGCAUGGUGGGGGUUGGUUAGUUUCGGCGGUUGGGGAUGGACUCGCGGCUUAUCAGCUUGUUGGUGGGGUAGUGGCUUACCAAGGCUUUGACGAGUAGCCGGCGUGAGAGGGUGACCGGCCACAUUGGGACUGAGAUACGGACACGACUCCUACGGGAGCGAGAAGUGGGAGAUAGUGCAAAAUGAGCGGAAGCCUGAUGCAGCAACGCCGCGUGCGGGAUAACGGCCUUCGGGUUGUAAACCGAUUUCGCCUGUGACGAAGAGUGAGUGACGGGAAUGGGUAAAGAAGGACCGGCCAAAUACGUG